AUUGAACGCUGGCGGCAGGCCUAACACAUGCAAGUCGAGCGGAGCGGCUGACGGGUGAGUAAUGCCUAGGACUCUGCCUGGUAUUGGGGGAUAAGGUCCGGAAACGGGCGCUAAUACCGUAUACUAUCAGAUGAGCCUAGGUCGGAUUAGCUAGUUGGUGGGGUAAAGGCCUACCAAGGCGACGUGCCGUAACUGGUCUGAGAGGCUGACCAGCAACAUUGGAACUUGGACACGCUCCAGACUCCUAAGGUAGGCAGCAGUGGGGAAUAUUGCACAAUGGGCGCAAGCCUGAUGCAGCCAGGCCGCGUGUAUGAGGAAGUCCUUGGGUGUGUAAAGUACUUUAAGCUGUUAGGCGUUACCCGAAGAAGAAGCACCGGCUAACUCCGUGCCAGCCGCCGCGGUAAUUC
This 407-nucleotide ribosomal RNA is filed under the name uncultured bacterium. RNAcentral describes it as "partial 16S ribosomal RNA". It matches the Rfam family "Bacterial small subunit ribosomal RNA", at positions 30 to 526 of the family's 1533-position model. The record is from RNAcentral.